GAUGAACGCUGGCGGCGUGCUUAACACAUGCAAGUCGAACGAGAAAUGUAGACGGAAACCUUCGGGCGGAAGCCCUCAUUUCUAGUUGCGGCCGGGUGAGUAACGCCUGGGUAACCUGCCUCCUACAGGGGGAUAACACUUGGAAACGACUGUUAAUACCGCAUCAGACCACAGCAUCGCAUGAUGCGGGGGUAAAAACUCCGGUGGUAUGGAAUGGACCCGCGUCCGAUUAGCCAGUGGGCGGGGUCACGGCCCACCAAAGCGACGAUCGAUAGCCGAUCGGGGGGGAUGACAGGCCGCGUUGGAACUGAGACACGGCCCAAACUCCUACGGAGGGCAGCGGUAGGGAAUAUUGCAGAAUGAAGGAAGCCCUAAUGAAGCGACGCGGCGUGAGUGAGGAAGUGCUUCGGUAUGUAAAGCUCUAUCAGCAGGAAAGAGAAUGACGGUACCUGAGUAAGAAGCACCGGCUAACUACGUG
RNAcentral lists this ribosomal RNA (478 nucleotides) under uncultured bacterium. RNAcentral's name for it is "partial 16S ribosomal RNA". It matches the Rfam family "Bacterial small subunit ribosomal RNA", at positions 28 to 507 of the family's 1533-position model. The record is from RNAcentral.